RNAcentral lists this ribosomal RNA (262 nucleotides) under uncultured archaeon. RNAcentral describes it as "partial 16S ribosomal RNA". It matches the Rfam family "Archaeal small subunit ribosomal RNA", at positions 748 to 1009 of the family's 1478-position model. The record is from RNAcentral.
CAGCCGUAAACUAUGCUCGCUAGGUGUCAGGCAUGGCGCGACCGUGUCUGGUGCCGCAGGGAAGCCGUGAAGCGAGCCACCUGGGAAGUACGGCCGCAAGGCUGAAACUUAAAGGAAUUGGCGGGGGGAGCACCACAACGGGUGGAGCCUGCGGUUUAAUUGGACUCAACGCCGGGAAGCUCACCGGAUAAGACAGCGGAAUGAUUGCCGGGCUGAAGACUCUGCAUGACUAGCUGAGAGGAGGUGCAUGGCGUAGACGUGU